RNAcentral lists this ribosomal RNA (253 nucleotides) under uncultured bacterium. Its description in RNAcentral is "partial 16S ribosomal RNA". It matches the Rfam family "Bacterial small subunit ribosomal RNA", at positions 524 to 776 of the family's 1533-position model. The record is from RNAcentral.
UACGUAGGGACCAAGCGUUGUUCGGAUUUACUGGGCGUAAAGGGCGCGCAGGCGGCAAUUCAAGUCAUCUGUGAAAUCUCCGAGCUUAACUCGGAACGGUCAGAUGAUACUGCUUUGCUAGAGUGCAGAAGGGGCAACCGGAAUUCUUGGUGUAGCGGUGAAAUGCGUAGAUAUCAAGAGGAACACCGGAGGUGAAGACGGGUUGCUGGGCUGACACUGACGCUGAGGCGCGAAAGCGUGGGGAGCAAACAGG